AAAAAGGUAAGCUAAUAUUAAGCUUUUAGGUUCAUACCCUAAUUAUAGAUUCAAAAUCUCCUUUUUA
This 67-nucleotide transfer RNA is filed under the name Ledra auditura. Its description in RNAcentral is "tRNA-Met". Lineage: Eukaryota; Metazoa; Arthropoda; Insecta; Hemiptera; Cicadellidae. RNAcentral also lists the same sequence under 1 other name. The record is from RNAcentral.